GUGGUCCUCCCGGGUUUUGUCAUCUCAGCAACAGGAGUGCAGGCACCUGCUACUCAACCUGAGAAACUCGGGGACGAAAGAGAGGAAAACCCCAGAACUGAGAGGAAGGAAAGCCAGCAUACUUACCUGCUGGAAGUCCCGAGUCGAGUGGCUGGAUGAAGGAGAGAAGCAACGUCGGCUAACCACUCACCGUUCAUCCGGAGAGCUGCUGCAAUUACGACAGUGUGUGUUCGGCUCUGUGAAACAGAGCAACGGGGAGCAACAUGUUCCUUAGCCGCUCUGAAGCUAAUUUUUUGUCAGUUCACUGUGAGCUUAAAGUAACCUAGAGGGUCAUUUUUAGUGCAUUUCUCUCUCACAAAUAGGCCUAUAGGGUGGAGAAAUUAAGCACACUGCUUUAAUGCCUCUCAACUGAACUCACAUGUGUAUUUUGUUGCUUAUUUUCACAUAAUUCUGAAAUUGUUAUGGUGUAUUGUAUUUUGAAUGUCAAUGGUUACUUACCAUAAGUAUUGUUUAAUUAAUGUUUACAUGAAUAGAGAAAUAUUUGAGCAACUUAGAUGUUUAGUUCUCGUAUUUGAUAUAAUUGAAAAUUGUACAACAGAACUGUUUGAUUGAUGUGAUAUACGAGGUUGAUGCAAUAUUUGGUUUUACAUUUUAACCUUAAACAGUGCAUCUGAAACAGACUGAUUAGAAUUUACAUUUUAUGACCUGGUUAUAGGUCAGGUUUUUGGAGAGGAGAGGAAAAGUCCGAGGACCAGGACGAGAUUCCGGUCGUGAUAGAUGGCGAGGCAACCACUUUGAGGACAUUUCACCAUGAAGAAGAUACACACACACACACACACACACACACACACAAGGACCUUUGAAGUUGGCUGUUGUCAACAUAACUUGAAUUCUUAAAGGGCCCCAACGAGUACUUUUAUUUUGUUCAAGUGUGCACACUAUUUAUUUUAUUUUAUACUUCUUUUUCCUGUACAAAUUGGACACUAAUUUUUUACACUUUGUAACAAUACAAGAGUGGCUACUCAAAAGUUUACACUGUCUCUGAGUCAUUAUUGCUGCUCAAUACUUUGCCUCCUCACGAAUUUGGUGUCUUCUGAUUCUGGCCAGGGUCUUAUUACGAGCCCAAGUAGUUAUUGUGCUGUAAUUCACCUUUACAUCUCUAAAGUUGGUUACAUUAAACAUAGUUUUGCAUUAAUGACUGUUUCACAAAGUGGCAGAAGAACCUUUUACUUACAUAAAGGCAUCUAUGCUGCUUCACCUGUCUGUGGAUAGAGAGCAGGUUUCAGUGAUUGCAGUCAUUGGUUCUUUUUUAUCCUGUUGACAUCAACAGGAUAAAAAAGUUGUUUGAUAAAAUCAGGAUGAAACGUUUUCUCUCCUUUUUUUUGAUAGAAGUCAGUCUCUGCUGUCAGUUGGUUUCCACUGAAGUUCUGCACUGAAAUAUAAAACUCAUAGUGAGCUCAGCAUGAGUUUUAAUCCUAACCUGCUGCAGUGUCGGUGCUGUGGGUCAAACUGUGAUCUAUCCUCUCACAUCUACCUGUGCUGUCAGAGGAUCCACUGUCACCCUCCCCUGCACCUUCACACCUCGGAAG
Molecule: RNA transcript, 1589 nt
Organism: Oreochromis aureus
Lineage: Eukaryota; Metazoa; Chordata; Actinopteri; Cichliformes; Cichlidae
Gene name: sialic acid-binding Ig-like lectin 10
Exons: 2
Source: RefSeq, a predicted model, not a curated record